RNAcentral lists this ribosomal RNA (434 nucleotides) under uncultured bacterium. Its description in RNAcentral is "partial 16S ribosomal RNA". It matches the Rfam family "Bacterial small subunit ribosomal RNA", at positions 29 to 507 of the family's 1533-position model. The record is from RNAcentral.
AACGAACGCUGGCGGCAGGCCUAACACAUGCAAGUCGAACGAACCUUUCGGGGUUAGUGGCGGACGGGUGAGUAACACGUGGGAACGUGCCUUUAGGUUCGGAAUAACUCAGGGAAAGUUGUGCUAAUACCGAAUGUGCCCUUCGGGGGAAAGAUUUAUCGCCUUUAGAGGGGCCCGCGUCUGAUUAGCUAGUUGGUUGAGGUAAUGGCUCACCAAGGCGACGAUCAGUAGCUGGUCUGAGAGGAUGAUCAGCCACAUUGGGACUGAGACACGGCCCAAACUCCUACGGGAAGCAGCAGUGGGGAAUCUUGCGCAAUGGGCGAAAGCCUGACGCAGCCAUGCCGCGUGAAUGAUGAAGGUCUUAGGAUUGUAAAAUUCUUUCACCGGGGACGAUAAUGACGGUACCCGGAGAAGAAGCCCCGGCUAACUUCGUG